ACCUUAGUUGCCAGCAUUCAGUUGGCACUCUAAGGUGACUGCCGGCUAAAAAGUCGGAGGAAGGUGGGAUGACGUCAAAUCAUCAUGCCCUUAUGACCUGGGCUACACACGUGCUACAAUGGGCGGUACAAAGGGUCGCGAACCCGCGAGGGGGAGCCAAUCCCAAAAAGCCGCUCUCAGUUCGGAUUGCAGGCUGCAACUCGCCUGCAUGAAGCCGGAAUCGCUAGUAAUCGCGGAUCAGCAUGCCGCGGUGAAUACGUUCCCGGGCCUU
Molecule: ribosomal RNA, 271 nt
Filed under: uncultured Anoxybacillus sp.
Lineage: Bacteria; Bacillati; Bacillota; Bacilli; Caryophanales; Anoxybacillaceae
Description: partial 16S ribosomal RNA
Rfam family: Bacterial small subunit ribosomal RNA
Source: RNAcentral